This 1071-nucleotide long non-coding RNA is filed under the name Danio rerio (zebrafish). RNAcentral's name for it is "lncRNA si:ch73-49p17.1 (ENSDARG00000094815.3)". The record is from RNAcentral. Lineage: Eukaryota; Metazoa; Chordata; Actinopteri; Cypriniformes; Danionidae.
AUCAUUGUCCUAGAUAUAAUCCAGAAGUGAAACUGAUAAAAAGAUGCAAAUCAACAUAUGUUGAUUCAGAUUUUUGUUUUAUUUUCUUAUUAGGAUGACAGAUAUAAUGAACAACCCUGAACACAGUCGAGAAGACUUCACUGUGAGCGACAGCGGAGAGCAAGGUGUUUCAUUGCAGAUAUUUCCAGACACACAGGAACGCCACCCCAAGCUGUCCAAGCGUCUGCCCUCCAUCGUGGUGGAUCCCACAGAUGGAGGAGAGGUGGAGAGCGGAGAGUUACGUUGGCCUCCGGAUGACCAGAUGACCACAGAGCCUUCAGGCCCAACGCACACAUCUCAAGAGAUCGCGUCUGCCUCACAAACCCAGAUCUCACACAGCCAGAGCGCAGGUGUGUAAGAGGAAUAUGCAUUUUGCAACACUUUCAGCAUUGACCCAUAACUACGAUGUGCCUAAAGGGGAACGAGUAAAUAUAUGCUGCUUAAAUGUGUUUCAGUUUAGAGAAGUGCAUUUAUAAAUGACUAUGCAUGCAUUUUCCCCCCUCAGAUGAAGCCAAGUGCAGCAGCCUGGAAACAUCAGGGGCAGCUGAGCGUAACUGAAAUUUUUAUAAAUAUGUUGUUGCGAGUCUGUCAUUAUCACAAGUCUCAGUUCUCACAAACUGUUCACACUUAGAAAGAAAGACACAAACACACUGACAAGCAGCCAAUCUGCCAGGAAGGUGCAAAUAAGAUCAGAGCUCGCGAUGCUAUAUCUGAGCACCUUUUGUAAAGCGCUCGAGGCUUUGAAAAAGACUUUCAAAAGUCUUUCGUACUUUUUCAAAUGAAGCUCUUGUUACAUUUUAGCUGUGGUUUUAGCAACAUUCUCACAAUGCAUUUAAGUUUUAAAGCCUGAAUUAUGAAAUUAGGAAGCUGUUACUGUAUCUUUCCACACUGUCAAAAGCGAUUACUUUACUUUACUUAAAAAAAAAGGGAGUAAAUGUGUUGCCUUAAAAGCAACAAAUCGAUUUAACUUUGGACGGUGGAUCAGUAGUUAGCAUUGUCGCCUCUCAGCAAAAAGGUUGCUGGUUCAAGUCC